GCCUGGCUGGCUCAGUACAUAGAGCAUGAAACUUCUGAUCUCAGAGUCAUGAAUUCAAGCCCCAUGUUGGGCA
This 73-nucleotide transfer RNA is filed under the name Canis lupus dingo (dingo). It matches the Rfam family "tRNA". From Rfam's summary of the family: Transfer RNA (tRNA) molecules are approximately 80 nucleotides in length. Their secondary structure includes four short double-helical elements and three loops (D, anti-codon, and T loops). Further hydrogen bonds mediate the characteristic L-shaped molecular structure. tRNAs have two regions of fundamental functional importance: the anti-codon, which is responsible for specific mRNA codon recognition, and the 3' end, to which the tRNAs corresponding amino acid is attached (by aminoacyl-tRNA synthetases). tRNAs cope with the degeneracy of the genetic code in two manners: having more than one tRNA (with a specific anti-codon) for a particular amino acid; and 'wobble' base-pairing, i.e. permitting non-standard base-pairing at the 3rd anti-codon position. Lineage: Eukaryota; Metazoa; Chordata; Mammalia; Carnivora; Canidae. The record is from Rfam by way of RNAcentral.